Molecule: ribosomal RNA, 497 nt
Filed under: uncultured bacterium
Lineage: Bacteria
Description: partial 16S ribosomal RNA
Rfam family: Bacterial small subunit ribosomal RNA
Source: RNAcentral
GAUGAACGCUGGCGGCGUGCCUAAUACAUGCAAGUCGAGCGAACAGAUAAGGAGCUUGCUCCUUUGACGUUAGCGGCGGACGGGUGAGUAACACGUGGAUAACCUACCUAUAAGACUGGGAUAACUUCGGGAAACCGGAGCUAAUACCGGAUAAUAUAUUGAACCGCAUGGUUCAAUAGUGAAAGGCGGCUUUGCUGUCACUUAUAGAUGGAUCCGCGCCGUAUUAGCUAGUUGGUAAGGUAACGGCUUACCAAGGCAACGAUACGUAGCCGACCUGAGAGGGUGAUCGGCCACACUGGAACUGAGACACGGUCCAGACUCCUACGGGAGGCAGCAGUAGGGAAUCUUCCGCAAUGGGCGAAAGCCUGACGGAGCAACGCCGCGUGAGUGAUGAAGGUCUUCGGAUCGUAAAACUCUGUUAUCAGGGAAGAACAAAUGUGUAAGUAACUGUGCACAUCUUGACGGUACCUGAUCAGAAAGCCACGGCUAACUACGUG